Molecule: long non-coding RNA, 1738 nt
Organism: Canis lupus familiaris (dog)
Lineage: Eukaryota; Metazoa; Chordata; Mammalia; Carnivora; Canidae
Exons: 4
Source: RefSeq, a predicted model, not a curated record
ACACUGUAGAAUGGCUUUGGACAAGCUGGGCCUCCCUGGACUCUUAGAGGGUCACUUGCAAGGAACCCCCAGAGAAGUUAGACGCUUGUGAGAACCAGCGCAGUGCUGCUCACCUCUGCCCUAAGGACUCUCCUGUCUUCUUCCCAUUCUCUGUCCAGCAUCCUGCAGUGUCUCAUCCUAGCUUCAAGAAGACUGAAAUACCAAGCACAUUAGUGAACUCCUUGAACCUGGCUGGCUCCCUAGCGAUUGUGCCCGAUGUCACCACCCUUGUGCAAGUCUGAAGAAGGAAGGAAAGCAGUGGGCAGUAUAGGAAGACAAGAAGUGGGCUCUCGUGAACCUUUAGCAAGGAAGAAAUGGAGGAUCAGGAGGGUAUGUGUCUUCAGCCCAGAUUCCACAGCCUAGCUCUGAGGUACAGGGCACACAGGUCACCAGAUGAAAAGCACAGGCACAAAGAAGAACUAGUCAAGGCCAACACUGAACCGGAAAGAAUAUUUUUACAACAGAAAAGGAUGGACAGUAUACCUUUUGUCCAUAUGCAAGAAAUCAUCUCAUCUCUUCUGUGGUAGCAUAAACUGGGACUAACAACACUUUCCUUAACAAUUUCCAUCUCUUAUAGUUGCUGUUCUCAGCUAAGCCACUGUAAAGGUCAAUCAGCAUAAGAACCUUCUAAGCACCAUCAUAAAGAGAGACACUGGGCAGUACAUGGUUCCUCAGGGGUGGUUUUAAUUCACCAAUUUGUGAGGUUGGAAAACCCUGCUAGUAACUGGCAACAGCAGCUUCAUGUCCAUAGGAAAGCACCAAAGUUGUAAAGCUUAAAAGUAAAAAGUAAUACUGAAAUUGUUCACAGGUGUUAAAGCAUAGGACACUAUCUUGGCUGCUGGAUGUGAAUGAUUUUGGAGCGCCACUUCUGGUUUCCCUACAGGGAAAAGAAACAAUUUCUAAUCGAAAUGUCCAAUUCCACAAAUCAAAAAACAAAUGUGUACUAAUGCUCCUCUUGCAUUCCAGCACUGUGCUGGAUGCUAUAGCUACAACAAUGAGCAAGAGAUUCUGGGGGAAGGGAUCCUGUUUCUGUGGCAAGAGUGCUAGGUUGGUAACUUUAAAAAUUCUUCUUUGCCAAAGCUCGUAGAAAUAGUGGCAAUACAGCAAUAUCCUUUUAAUUACACAGCUGAGCUAGCAAGAAAGUAAGGAAGAUCCUUAGGAGUCAAAAAUGUUGAAGGGAACUAGAAAGUACAAUGGUAAAUGAGGUCAGUCCUUUUCAGUUGCCCUGGAAAAAGGGGCUGUUUAUUGCUCUUGGACCCAACUGAAAACAGGGAAUUAAAACAGCCCCAAUAUAAAAUGAGGACCCUCAAAAAGAUAGAGUGGACUAGGAAUAAAUUAGCCUAUUGGCCACACACUGACAGGAAGAAAGCUCUGAAUUGAGAGGAAGAAAACAUCUGCUUUCAUCAUCUGUAACCAUCAGUCGUGUCUUUCCAUAAGUUAAUUUGAAAUUUGAAUUGUACUAUUACAUGGUCUGAAAAUCCCCAAGGAUAAAUUGAACACAAAAAGUGGCUUCAGGCUUGCAAUAACGCUGUGACAUUUGGCAGAAGAAAUACAAAACUCUGAAGAGACCCACCCUCAAUUGGGGCAUGAUUUCCAUAAAUAAAGCUCUGUUGAAGAUGAGCUCACAAUAGAAAAUUCACAAAAGAAAAACUUACACAGAAAUAAGCCAUCGCAAACAAGACUUGGGAAAUCCAACAAA